GAUGAACGCUGGCGGCGUGCCUAAUACAUGCAAGUCGAGCGAACGGACGAGAAGCUUGCUUCUCUGAUGUUAGCGGCGGAAGGGUGAGUAACACGUGGAUAACCUACCUUCAAGACUGGGACAACUUCGGGAAACCGUAGCUAGUACCGGAUAAUAUUUUCAACCGCAUGGUUCAAAAGCGAAAGAGGGUUUUGCUGUCACUUAUAGAUGGAUCCGCGCUGCAUUAGCUAGUUGGUAAGGUAACGGCUUACCAAGGCAACGAUGCAUAGCCGACCUGAGAGGGUGAUCGGCCACACUGGGAGUGAGAGACGGUCCAGACUCCUACGGGAGGCAGAGAUAGGGAAUCUUCGGAGAUGGGGGAAAGCCUGACGGAGCAACGCCGCGUGGGUGAUGAAGGUCUUCGGGUCGUAAGACUCUGUUAUUAGGGAAGAACAUAUGUGUAAGUAACUGUGCACGUCUUGACGGUACCUAAACAGAAAGCAACGGCUAACUACGUG
RNAcentral lists this ribosomal RNA (497 nucleotides) under uncultured bacterium. RNAcentral's name for it is "partial 16S ribosomal RNA". It matches the Rfam family "Bacterial small subunit ribosomal RNA", at positions 28 to 507 of the family's 1533-position model. The record is from RNAcentral.